Molecule: ribosomal RNA, 450 nt
Filed under: uncultured bacterium
Lineage: Bacteria
Description: bacterial SSU rRNA
Rfam family: Bacterial small subunit ribosomal RNA
Source: RNAcentral
CAUGCAAGUCAACUGAACUUAAGGUAGCAAUAUUUUAAGGGAGGUGGCGCACGGGUGAGUAACACGUAGGUAAUCUGCCUUUAGGUCUGACACAACUCCGAAAGGUAGGCUAAUAUCAGAUGAUGCAGCGGCUCGACAUCGAGACAGUUGUUAAACCUUCGGGGCCUAAAGAUGAGCCUGCGUCUGAUUAGGUAGUUGGCGGAGUAAUAGCCCACCAAGCCUGCGAUCAGUAGCUGGUCUGAGAGGAUGAUCAGCCACACUGGAACUGAGACACGGUCCAGACUCCUACGGGAGGCAGCAGUAAGGAAUAUUGCUCAAUGGCCGAAAGGCUGAAGCAGCAACGCCGCGUGGAGGACGAAAUACUUUGUAUGUAAACUCCUGUAAGAAGGGAAAAAUAUGCAGUUUUCUGCAUUGAUUGUACCUUCAGAGUAAGCCCCGGCUAACUACGUG